CUCUGCUUCCCAAAGAACACUAACUUCUCUGUUUACAUUUAUAGCUCAAUCAAGCACAUUAAAAAGAAAAAUCACCUCUGGUCCUUUGGAGUCCUCCAAAAUAGAAAUAAACCUAGAGGCUUAGUUCCCCUCCAGGCAAUUUCAAAAUUAAGAAAAUACAGACAUAUAGAAUCAUAUAGUAGGUAGCAAAUCCUCAUCACUCCAUUGGUUCAGGCACUUUAAAAUCCAUUUUGUGGUUAGUUACAAAUUCUUGUAGCUGCACCAGAUUGGAUACACCCAAGGGAGGAUCUGAGAUGUUUUCAGUAGCAAAGAUGCUUUCUGCAAGAAUCCCCUAUCUCCGGUAAUCACCCGGAAGACUAGAAGCUAUCCCGCCCCACAGCGAUUCGGUAAAAGUGCUGACUUAGCGGGGAGCAAAUUUGUCUUUCUUGGAACAGACAUCUUUUAUUUUCCAAACCAAGCCUCUUCUGAAGUCAUUUUCCGCCCUUAAGUUUUCUCCCGAAGAGA
Molecule: long non-coding RNA, 504 nt
Filed under: Marmota monax (woodchuck)
Lineage: Eukaryota; Metazoa; Chordata; Mammalia; Rodentia; Sciuridae
Source: RNAcentral